UGUGAGCCAGGUUGGUUUCUAUCUUUAUAAUAUUUUAAUAUUUUAGUACGAAAGGAAUUAGUAUUUAUUAAAUAAUUAUUUAUUAUUGAAUAAUAUUAACUAUUUUGGCAGAUAAGUGUAAUAAAUUUAGAUUUUAUAUAUGUGAUUUUUCACAAAUAGUAUUGUAUUUAAUUGAAAUUAUUUUAUUUAUUAUUAGAAGAUUAUUAUUAGUAA
RNAcentral lists this ribosomal RNA (213 nucleotides) under Glossina brevipalpis. RNAcentral's name for it is "partial 16S ribosomal RNA". The record is from RNAcentral. Lineage: Eukaryota; Metazoa; Arthropoda; Insecta; Diptera; Glossinidae.